This 496-nucleotide ribosomal RNA is filed under the name uncultured bacterium. RNAcentral's name for it is "partial 16S ribosomal RNA". It matches the Rfam family "Bacterial small subunit ribosomal RNA", at positions 28 to 506 of the family's 1533-position model. The record is from RNAcentral.
GAUGAACGCUGGCGGCGUGCCUAAUACAUGCAAGUCGAGCGAACAGACGAGGAGCUUGCUCCUCUGACGUUAGCGGCGGACGGGUGAGUAACACGUGGAUAACCUACCUAUAAGACUGGGAUAACUUCGGGAAACCGGAGCUAAUACCGGAUAAUAUAUUGAACCGCAUGGUUCAAUAGUGAAAGACGGUUUUGCUGUCACUUAUAGAUGGAUCCGCGCCGCAUUAGCUAGUUGGUAAGGUAACGGCUUACCAAGGCAACGAUGCGUAGCCGACCUGAGAGGGUGAUCGGCCACACGGGAACUGAGACACGGUCCAGACUCCUAGGGGAGGCAGCAGUGGGGAAUCUUCCGCAAUGGGCGAAAGCUUGAGGGAGAAACGCCGCGGGAGUGAUGAAGGUCUUCGGAUUGUAAACCUCUGUUAUUAGGGAAGAACAAAUGUGUAAGUAACUAUGCACGUUUUGACGGUACCUAAUCAGAAAGCCACGGCUAACUACGU